AGUAAUGUAUGGGGAUCUGCCUGAUGGCGGGGGAUGACUACUGGAAACGGUAGCUAAUACCGCAUAAUGUCUGCGGACCAAAGCGGGGGACCUCCGGGCCUCGCGCCAUCAGAUGAACCCAUAUGGGAUUAGCUAGUAGGUAAGGUAACGGCUUACCUAGGCGACGAUCCCUAGCUGGUCUGAGAGGAUGAUCAGCCACACUGGGACUGAGACACGGCCCAG
RNAcentral lists this ribosomal RNA (222 nucleotides) under uncultured bacterium. RNAcentral describes it as "partial 16S ribosomal RNA". It matches the Rfam family "Bacterial small subunit ribosomal RNA", at positions 109 to 334 of the family's 1533-position model. The record is from RNAcentral.